This 405-nucleotide ribosomal RNA is filed under the name uncultured bacterium. Its description in RNAcentral is "partial 16S ribosomal RNA". It matches the Rfam family "Bacterial small subunit ribosomal RNA", at positions 360 to 776 of the family's 1533-position model. The record is from RNAcentral.
AAUAUUGCACAAUGGGCGGAAGCCUGAUGCAGCGACGCCGCGUGGGGGAUGACGGCCUUCGGUGUGUAAACCUCUUUCGACAGGGGCGAAGUGAAAAUGACGGUUCCUGUAUAAUAAGCACCGGCAGACUACGUGCCAGCAGCCGCGGUAAUACGUACGGGGCGAGCGUUGUCCGUAAUUACGGGGCGUGAAGAGCUCGUAGGUGGUUUGUCACGUCGUCUGUGAAAUUCCGGGGCUUAACCUCGGGCGUGCAGGCGAUACGGGCAAUACUUGAGUGCUGUAGGGGAGACUGGAAUUCCUGGUGUAGCGGUGAAAUGCGCAGAUAUCAGGAGGCACACCAAUGGCGAAGGCAGGUCUCUGGGCAGUUACUGACGCUGAGGAGCGAAAGCAUGGGUAGCGAACAGG